Molecule: unclassified non-coding RNA, 487 nt
Filed under: Ascocoryne sp. OTU_023
Lineage: Eukaryota; Fungi; Ascomycota; Leotiomycetes; Helotiales; Gelatinodiscaceae
Description: sequence contains ITS1, 5.8S rRNA gene and ITS2
Rfam family: 5.8S ribosomal RNA (bases 184-337)
Source: RNAcentral
GGCAGCGGGCUCGCCCGCUACCCGACGAUCACGGCCCCCCUCACGGGGGGUACCCCCCACCCUUGUGUAUUAUACCUUUGUUGCUUUGGCGGGCCGCGUCAAGCCACCGGCUCACGCUGGUGAGCGCCCGCCAGAGGCCCCAACUCUUGAUUUUAUGAUGUCUGAGUACUAUAUAAUAGUUAAAACUUUCAACAACGGAUCUCUUGGUUCUGGCAUCGAUGAAGAACGCAGCGAAAUGCGAUAAGUAAUGUGAAUUGCAGAAUUCAGUGAAUCAUCGAAUCUUUGAACGCACAUUGCGCCCCGUGGUAUUCCGCGGGGCAUGCCUGUUCGAGCGUCAUUAUGACCAACAUCACGCCUGGCGUGGUCUUGGGGCUGGCAACUCUGCCGCCCUCAAACGCAGUGGCAGCGCCGCAUGGCUCUUAGCGUAGUAAUACUCCUCGCUAUAGGGUCCUACGGUUGCCCGCCAGCAACCCCCAAUCUUUACAGG